RNAcentral lists this ribosomal RNA (324 nucleotides) under uncultured bacterium. RNAcentral's name for it is "bacterial SSU rRNA". It matches the Rfam family "Bacterial small subunit ribosomal RNA", at positions 28 to 334 of the family's 1533-position model. The record is from RNAcentral.
GAUGAACGCUGGCGGCGUGCCUAACACAUGCAAGUCGAACGAAGCGUCUUAAAGGAAGUUUUCGGAUGGAAUUUGGGAUGACUGAGUGGCGGACGGGUGAGUAGCGCGUGGAUAACCUGCCUUGUACUGGGGGACAACAGUUAGAAAUGACUGCUAAUACCGCAUAAGCGCACAGUAUCGCAUGAUACAGUGUGAAAAACUCCGGUGGUACAAGAUGGACCCGCGACUGAUUAGCUAGUUGGUAAGGUAACGGCUUACCAAGGCGACGAUCAGUAGCCGACCUGAGAGGGUGACCAGCCACAUUGGGACUGAGACACGGCCCAA